AGUCUGUGUGUCACGGUGUCAGUUCAUCACUCGCGGUGUUUAACUGGCUUUAUGUAAGCAGCGGUAAUUCCAGCUUUAGAAGCAUAUAUUAAAAUUGUUGCGGUUAAAAUGCUCGUUGAUUAGUCUGUGUGUCACGGUGUCAGUUCAUCACUCGCGGUGUUUAACUGGCUUUAUGUGAUACGUUCUUAGUCUGUAAACUUCGUGAAUGGAUAAUGGAAUAGAAACUCGGUUCUGUUUUGUUGGUUUCCAGAGUUCCGAGGUAAUGAUUAAUAGGGACAGGUCAGGACAUUAACUGGCUUUAUGUGAUACGUUCUUAGUCUGUAAACUUCGUGAAUGGAUAAUGGAAUAGAAACUCGGUUCUGUUUUGUUGGUUUCCAGAGUUCCGAGGUAAUGAUUAAUAGGGACAGGUCAGGACAUUUUUAUUGCGUUGUUAGAGGUGAAAUUUUUGGAUCGUCGCAAGACGGACAGAAGCGAAAGCCAAAGUGUUUUCCUUAAACCAGAACGAAUAUUAGAGUUCCGAAGGCGAUCAGAUACCGCAAUAGUUCUAACUACAAACUAUGCCAGCUAGCGUUCCGCCGAAGUUACUCAGAUGACUCGGUGGGCAGCUUUCGGGAAACAAAGCUUUUGGUUUCCAGGAAAUGUAUGACAGCAAAGCUGAAUCUUGAAAAAAUUAGCGGGAGGACACCACUAGGUGUGGAGCCCGUGGCUUAAUUUGUCUCAACACGGGGAACCUCACCAGGCCCGGACACCGGAGGAAUUGCCAGAUUGAUAGCUCUUUCUUUAUUCGAUGGGUGGUGGUGCAUGGCCGUUCUUAGUUGGUGGAGCGAUUUGUCUGGUUAAUUCCGAUAACGAACGAGACUCUAGCCUGCUAAAUAGACGCAACUUAUGGUAGGUCUCGAAGGCCCUCGGCUUCGUUCAGUUGGUUUUUACUACCAACGUGCAGACAAAUCAUUUUAGAGGAACAGGCGGCUUCUAGCCGCACGAGAUUGCUCAGUAACAGGUCUGUGAUACCCUUACAUGUUCUGGGCCUCACGUGCGCUACACUGAAGAUAUCAGCAUGUUUUCCCUGGCCCAAAAGCAUAAAUUGAAUACGCUGAACCUCCUUCGUGCUGGUGAUUGCAGAUAUUCCUCAUUAACAGGGAUUUCCAAGUAAACGCGAGUCAUAUGCUCGUGUUGAUUACAUCCCUGCCCUCUGCUCAUAUCGCCCGUCGCUACAACCGAAAUACUAAAUGAUUAAGUGACGUUCUCGGACUGUUGUGCAGCCAAUGCUUCGGAAUUGCCGAUGUUGCACAGAAGAUGUCCAAUCUUGAACAUUUAGAGGAAGUAAAAGUCGUAGCAAAUUUACCGUAGGUGAACUUGUGGAAG
This 1365-nucleotide ribosomal RNA is filed under the name Lepidotrigona ventralis hoosana. RNAcentral's name for it is "SSU rRNA". It matches the Rfam family "Eukaryotic small subunit ribosomal RNA", at positions 558 to 1823 of the family's 1831-position model. The record is from RNAcentral. Lineage: Eukaryota; Metazoa; Arthropoda; Insecta; Hymenoptera; Apidae.